GCAGCCUGAUGCAGCGACGCCGCGUGAGGGAUGACGGCCUUCGGGUUGUAAACCUCUUUCAGUAUCGACGAAGCGCAAGUGACGGUAGGUACAGAAGAAGGACCGGCCAACUACGUGCCAGCAGCCGCGGUAAUACGUAGGGUCCGAGCGUUGUCCGGAAUUACUGGGCGUAAAGAGCUCGUAGGUGGUUUGUCGCGUUGUUCGUGAAAACUCACAGCUCAACUGUGGGCGUGCGGGCGAUACGGGCAGACUAGAGUACUGCAGGGGAGACUGGAAUUCCUGGUGUAGCGGUGGAAUGCGCAGAUAUCAGGAGGAACACCGGUGGCGAAGGCGGGUCUCUGGGCAGUAACUGACGCUGAGGAGCGAAAGCGUGGGGAGCGAACAGGAUUAGAUACCCUGGUAGUCCACGCCGUAAACGGUGGGUACUAGGUGUGGGUUUCCUUCCUUGGGAUCCGUGCCGUAGCUAACGCAUUAAGUACCCCGCCUGGGGAGUACGGCCGCAAGGCUAAAACUCAAAGAAAUUGACGGGGGCCCGCACAAGCGGCGGAGCAUGUGGAUUAAUUCGAUGCAACGCGAAGAACCUUACCUGGGUUUGACAUGCACAGGACGUGCCUAGAGAUAGGUAUUCCCUUGUG
This 635-nucleotide ribosomal RNA is filed under the name Mycobacterium sp. So2Ps_893. Its description in RNAcentral is "bacterial SSU rRNA". It matches the Rfam family "Bacterial small subunit ribosomal RNA", at positions 378 to 1022 of the family's 1533-position model. Lineage: Bacteria; Bacillati; Actinomycetota; Actinomycetes; Mycobacteriales; Mycobacteriaceae. The record is from RNAcentral.